UCCCAAUUUUGGCCCAGAUCGUUUACCGUGAAAAAAUUAGAGUGUUCAAAGCGGGCAGAUAUUUUUCCUGCCACCGAAUACAUUAGCAUGGGAUAAUGGAAUAGGACCCUGACCUCCUAUUUUCAGUUGGUUUUGUUUACAGCGAGGUUAUAUCAGGGUAAUGAUUAAUAGGGAUAGUUGGGGGCAUUAAUAUUUAAUUGUCAGAGGUGAAAUUCUUGGAUUUAUGAAAGAUUAACUUCUGCGAAAGCGUUUGCCAAGGAUGUUUUCAUUAAUCAAGAACGAAAGUUAGGGGAUCGAAGACGAUCAGAUACCGUCGUAGUCUUAACCAUAAACGAUGCCGACCAGCGAUUAGGAGACGUUGAAUACAAAACACCGCUGUAAUCCUUUCGGGUAAAGUGAA
This 400-nucleotide ribosomal RNA is filed under the name Acanthamoeba sp. FL1. Its description in RNAcentral is "SSU rRNA". It matches the Rfam family "Eukaryotic small subunit ribosomal RNA", at positions 730 to 1102 of the family's 1831-position model. The record is from RNAcentral. Lineage: Eukaryota; Discosea; Longamoebia; Acanthamoebidae.